CCUACGUGAGGCUGCAGUGGGGAAUAUUUCGCAAUGGGCGCAAGCCUGACGCAGCGACGCCGCGUGAGGGAUGAAGGUCUUCGGAUCGUAAACCUCUGUCAGCAGGGAAGAACGGUCACUGUGCUAAUCAGCAGUGAAUUGCCGGUACCUGCAAAGGAAGCACCGGCUAACUCCGUGCCAGCAGCCGCGGUAAUACGGAGGGUGCGAGCGUUAAUCGGAAUUACUGGGCGUAAAGCGCUCGUAGGCGGUAUGUCAAGUCAAGGGUGAAAUCCCCGCGCUCAACGUGGGAACUGCCUUGGAAACUGGCAAACUGGAGUGUGUGAGAGGAUAGUGGAAUUCCAGGUGUAGGAGUGAAAUCCGUAGAUAUCUGGAGGAACAUCAGUGGCGAAGGCGACUAUCUGGCACAUAACUGACGCGGAGGAGCGAAAGCGUGGGUAGCAAACAGGAUUAGAUACCCCAGUAGUC
This 465-nucleotide ribosomal RNA is filed under the name uncultured bacterium. RNAcentral's name for it is "partial 16S ribosomal RNA". It matches the Rfam family "Bacterial small subunit ribosomal RNA", at positions 338 to 795 of the family's 1533-position model. The record is from RNAcentral.